UUUUGUUUUCAAUCAAUAUUUUAUUCACUGCAUUCAUAUUAUGGCAACAUGCUCUUUAACACAAAAAUACAAAACAGCAAAGGUUCCAAAAUAAAUGUAAUGAUCGUGUAUUAAAAAUAAAGUAAGAGGUAAGACUAAAAAUCACACAUUUAUAGGGAGGACUUUAAAAGCAGGAACAGGAAUAGUAUAGAGGUGAAUGAAGGAGGGGUAUUUAUGCUUUCAUUAAGUAUUUUAGUGCUCUGAAGGGCUUUAAGCCAUAAGAAUUAGAGUAAUAAGAUAAACGUAUUUUAAAAAAUGAAGUAAAGAUUUAAAGUGUCAUUUAACACCUGAUUUCCUUAACAAAAGCCACAUCUCAAUCGGUAGUCCAGGUGUGACAGGGUGUGACACAGGAUGGCCUUUCCUCCUUAGGUCUCUGCAGUUCCUCAAGCAAGAUGGAGCCCGAUGACAUCACGGACUCCCACCAGACAAACUCCUUCAAUUCUCUACUCUCUCUCUCUCUUUCUCUCUCUGUGUGUGUUUUCUUAUCCAGUGAGACAGGUAAAAGCCGAAUAGCGAUUUUGAUUGGCACAGAGUUUCAUAAUAUAGCAUAACAAUGUUUACAUAUGAAUAAUAUAACAACAACAACAACAAGGAUAGAGUAACAACAGUCAACAGUAUAAUGAUAUAACUAAAAUAACAUAAAAAGGAACAUACAUUGUUACAAAAUGAAGCUACACAGGAACAGUUGAUGAAUUUCUAUACCAUUUAAAACCAGUUGGAACCACUUGGAACCAGUUGGAACCAUUUGGAACCAGUUGGAACCAUUUGAAACCAGUUGGAACCAGUUGAAACCACGUGGAACCAGUUGGAACCAGUUGAAACCACGUGGAACCAGUUGGAACCAGUUGAAACCACGUGGAACCAGUUGGAACCAUUUGGAACUAGUUGGAACCAUUUGGAACCAGUUGAAACCACGUGGAACCAGUUGAAACCACGUGGAACAAGUUGGAACCAGUUGGAACCAGUUGAAACCACGUGGAACCAGUUGGAACCAUUUGGAACUAGUUGGAACCAUUUGGAACCAGUUGAAACCAGUUGAAACCACGUGGAACAAGUUGGAACCAUUUGGAACCAGUUGAAACCAGUUGGAACCAGUUGAAACCAUGUGGAACCAGUUGGAACCAUUUGGAACCAGUUGAAACCAGUUGGAACCAGUUGAAACCAUGUGGAACCAGUUGGAACCAGAUGGAGCCAGUUGGAACCAGUUGAAACCAGUUGGAACCAUUUGAAACCAGUUGAAACCAGUUGGAACCAGAUGCAACCACCCAAGAGAGCAUAAAUCAGUUGAUAUAUACAAUGCUAUGCUGGUUUUACUGUAAAGGCUGGCUGGUGCAUUAUAAAUAAGCUAAAAUAUUACACUGUACUCAUGUAUGUCAACAUCAUAUUGGUAAUACAGUAUAGUACAAUGUCUUUAUAUUUUGUCAUGUUCAAUGAAGUAUAUUCAUUUGAUUAUGUUUUUUAAAAUUUAUAUUUCUCAUGACACAACAGGUCAGGUGAGAUCUUCAACACACCUUAGAGGGACUGUGUUUCAACACACCUGUUUCAACACACCUGAUCACAGAAUCAGAAUACUUUGUUAACUUGAUACCAUUCAGAUACCAGAUGUCCAAAGGGUCCUUCAUCACACAUGUAUAUAAUAAGUAGUGUAUAGUUCCGACAUAUGAGGAACAUGGCCAAUAGUAUAUCAAAGAGGGGAGUGGUCAGUGAGUAAAGGGAAAGACAAUAACAGAGGACAUAUGAAAAACUAUUUCCAGAGGAGGUAUAAACAUGACUUCGGGGACAGGGUGUUGUUUCCCGUCAGAGAGGGGAAGACAAAAAGUGUUACACAGAUUUAGAGCAAUCAAUGUUAGUGACCUCUGGACUCAUUCAGGAAGGUGUUAGUGACCUCUGGACUCAUUCAGGAAGGUGUUAGUGACCUCUGGACUCAUUCAGUAAGGUGUUAGUGACCCCUGGACUCAUUCAGGAAGGUGUUAGUGACCUCUGGACUCAUUCAGGAAGGUGUUAGUGACCUCUGGACUCAUUCAGGAAGGUGGUAGAGUGACCUCUGGACUCAUUCAGGAGAAUGUUAGUGACCUCUGGACUCAAUCAGGAGAAUGUUAGUGACCUCUGGACUCAUUCAGAGAAUGUUAGAGUGACCUCUGGACUCAUUCAGGAGAAUGUUAGUGACCUCUGGACUCAUUCAGGAAGGUGUUAGUGACCUCUGGACUCAUUCAGGAGAAUGUUAGAGUGACCUCUGGACUCAUUCAGGAGAAUGUUAGCGUGACCUCUGGACUCAUUCAGAGAAUGUUAGAGUGACCUCUGGACUCAUUCAGGAGAAUGUUAGAGUGACCUCUGGACUCAUUCAGGAGAAUGUUAUAGUGACCUCUGUACUCAUUCAGGAGAAUGUUAGAGUGAUCUCUGGACUCAUUCAGGAGAAUGUUAGAGUGAUCUCUGGACUCAUUCAGGAGAAUGUAAGAGUGAUCUCUGGACUCAUUCAGGAGAAUGUUAGAGUGACCUCUGGACUCAUUCAGGA
This is a long non-coding RNA of Oncorhynchus tshawytscha (Chinook salmon), 2551 nucleotides long. NCBI's taxonomy places the organism in Eukaryota, Metazoa, Chordata, Actinopteri, Salmoniformes, Salmonidae. The record is from Ensembl.